This 497-nucleotide ribosomal RNA is filed under the name uncultured bacterium. Its description in RNAcentral is "partial 16S ribosomal RNA". It matches the Rfam family "Bacterial small subunit ribosomal RNA", at positions 28 to 507 of the family's 1533-position model. The record is from RNAcentral.
GAUGAACGCUGGCGGUGUGCCUAAUACAUGCAAGUCGAGCGAACAGACGAGGAGCUUACUCCUCUGACGUUAGCGGCGGACGGGUGAGUAACACGUGGAUAACCUACCUAUAAGACUGGGAUAACUUCGGGAAACCGGAGCUAAUACCGGAUAACAUGUUGAACCGCAUGGUUCAACAGUGAAAGACGGUCUUGCUGUCACUUAUAGAUGGAUCCGCGUCGCAUUAGCUAGUUGGUAAGGUAACGGCUUACCAAGGCAACGAUGCGUAGCCGACCUGAGAGGGUGAUCGGCCACACUAGAACUGAGACACGGUCCAGACUCCUACGGGAGGCAGCAGUAGGGAAUCUUCCGCAAUGGGCGAAAGCCUGACGGAGCAACGCCGCGUGAGUGAAGAAGGUCUUCGGAUCGUAAAACUCUGUUAUUAGGGAAGAACAAAUGUGUAAGUAACUAUGCACGUCUUGACGGUACCUAAUCAGAAAGCCACGGCUAACUACGUG